UGAUACCAUGUAAGAUUGGAUACUCUCACCAUAAAUUGUGUGUGAGGUGGACAAUAUUAUUUAUAUUA
This 68-nucleotide microRNA precursor is filed under the name Lotus japonicus. RNAcentral describes it as "miR11105a stem-loop (lja-MIR11105a)". The record is from miRBase by way of RNAcentral. Lineage: Eukaryota; Viridiplantae; Streptophyta; Magnoliopsida; Fabales; Fabaceae.